AAUGAAGGAAAGAAUGAAUGGGAUAAGAUAUAUGCACUUGAGCCUGACAUAGUGUUUCAGCUUCUGUGAUGAGAGUCAUUACUAAGUAAUCAGGAGUCUGAUAAAGACUUGCCUUGAAAUUUUCUGCAGGAGAAUCUCCUCUACAAUCUUUUUUUUUUCUUUUUUUUUUAACGGCCACGCUUACUGCAUAUGAAAGUUCCCAAGCCAGGGCUUGAAUCUGAGCUGCCGCUGUAGCAACACCAGAUCUUUUAACCCACUGUGCCAGGAGGGGAUGAACCCAUGCCUUUGCAGCCACCCAAGCUGCUACAGUUAGUUUCUUAACCCACUGUACCACAGAAGGAACUCCUUACAUCCAUUUUAAUUUCCUGUACUAUACUGAAAAGUAUAUAUUUUCUUGCCAAGUAAGACUAUGUAAGACUGUGGGAAAUCCAGUAUGGUGGUCGGGAGUAUGGGCUGGGAACUCAGCUGAUGCUCUGAGUAUUAUUUGUUGUGGAAUCCUGGGUCUUUCUUUAACCUUUCCCAGCCACAGUUCCUCAUCUAUAACAUGGAGAUGGAGUAGGGCUUUCAUGAAAUUUAGACAACAGGCUCAACACAGAACAAGGGAACGAUAAGUAGCAGGUUUAAUGUUUACAAAAGGAGACUGGAAAGAGACGGCAUAGAAAGGAAUGGGUAAUGCAGGUGUGGUAGAAAGCGCCUUGCUGGGAGUGGGGCCACUAAGAUCAAUAUGUCAAUAUUUAAAACGCAGUUGUAUUUUUACACAGGAUCAAUAAGUAAACUGGAAGCGAAAUUAAGAAAACCAUUCCAUUUACAGUAGCAUCAAAAGAACAAAAUAUUUAGGAAUAAGUUUAACAAUAAUGUACAGUUUAUAUUCUGAAAACUACAGAAAAUUGUUGAAAGAAAUUAAAGAUGAUUUAAAUAAAUGGAAAGACAACCCAGGUUCAUGGUUUGGAAGACUUAAUAUUAUUGACAUUUGCUCUCCAAAUUGAUCUACACAUUCAAUUUACUCUCAAGAUCCUGUUCAAGAUGGGAGAUCAAAUCCCCAAUUAAACUUAAGAUGGCUGUAGGUCAGUGUGGCCAGUUUUUCUAAGACAGGAAAGCCAAGAAAACCUUAAACUUAAAGGACUUUGUUAAAGGGGAAUGAUUUGAAAAAUAGUUAGGACCAUCCCCAAAGGUGUAGUAACUUCAUUGUAAUCUAAUUAAUACAACCCCCUGUCUCCCCAUCUAAUCUUAUCCCUUUGAAUCUAUGGAGCCCUACACAGGGUACUUUGAGCCUGGUGCCUUCUGGAUGCCCCCUACUUGACUGAAACAAACUCAGGUAUCACCAGAAGAGCCUUGUAACAAAAACAGGCGGGUCUAGGAGUUACAAGACCUGGGUUAGAAUUCCUGUAUGUGCAAGCUUGGCCAACUCAACUUCGUUGAUCCUGUUUCCCUCACUUAUAGGAAAGGAUCAUUCAGUGGUGCACUGGUAAAUGUUUAACCAUCAGCUCUCCGUUUGCCAGUUUCUGUGGUGUAAAUACUCUCACCCCAGCCAAUUUCCAGCCACCAGUGAGUUGGGAAUAGAUAUGCACAACUAGCUCUCAUGAGCUGGUAACUGCCAGCUCCAGCAACACCUCUUAAUACUUAGGUUACAGGGUUUUUAAGAUGAUUAAAUGUGAACUGUAUGAAAAAUAAUUAGUGGAGUGCUUUAGUAGAGCAUCAGUAAGUAAAUACCUAUUGGGUGAGGUGCUCAGAAAGGAGGCAUUUAUUUUGGGCCCACUCCGAGGGGUGAAGCUUAGGCUGGUUCACUGGGAGAAAAGCUGGUGGGCUGGGGAACGGAAGUAUGAGAAAGAGAAUGAAACUGAGCUCUUAUCUCAAUAUCGGUAUCUGGGAGGGCAUUGAGGGUAGCAUCUUCCUGAAGGAAGUUCUGUGAUUUCUGGAGCCUAGUGGGCCGCUGGUUAUUUAUGGCAGGGGUUCUCAAACUUUAUCAUGCCUUAGAAUUUUCUGGAGUAUUUGCUAAAACAGAUUGCUGGGUUGUAACUGCAGAGUUUCUGAUCCAGUAGGUAUAGGGUAAAACUGAGUAUUUGCAUUUCCAAGAAAUUCCCAGGUGAUGCUUGACACGCCUGUUUGGGACUCACACCUGGAGAACACCGAAAUUAUAGCAAUGAAGGCUAGGGGGCUAGAGAUGGAGUAUUCUCUGUCUUGGCGGGUAUCUCUGGCUCUCUUUCUCCAGGGUUCAGGGCUCCAUAUUCCUCCUCUUGCCUCUCUGUGCUGCUUUGGCAAAAAUGAUUUCUUUUAUUUGGCAAAAAUGAACUGCGUGUGAUUAUCUCUGAAGGUAAGACAGGGUGAUUUAUAUGAGUUCAUUUGUCAUUUUUCUUGAACAAUGAUUACAAAUUUCCUGUGGAGGACAGUUACAGCUGCAAAGAUGUUGUGUUCUUUGCCAUGAACAGCUUUCUACCUAGGACUUCACUGGGGAACCAGGCUGGGCAAGGGACUUGGGAGAGAAUGGAUCACCAGGAAGUAUGAGGACUGGUGAACAGUCAGAUCCUGGGGCUGUGCUGUCCAUAUCAGCCACAUGUGGCUUUUACAAUUUCAUUCAAAGUAGAUAAAGUCUGGAGUUCCCUGGUGGCCUAGCAGUUAGGGAUUCGGUGUUGUCAUUUCUGUGUCUCGGAUUUGAUCCCUGGCUUGGGAACUUCUGCAUGCCAUGGCCAUGGACAAAAAAAUUAAAAAGGAGAUAAAAUCUAAAACUCAUUUCCUUGAUUAUACUAACUACUUUUCAAGUCCUCCAUGAUCACAUGUGGCUAGUGGCUAUCACACAGGAUGGCUCAGAUAGAACCUUCCCACCAUGGCCGGAAGUUCUAUGGGACAGCACUGGUCCAGAGGACGAAUGAAGAGAAGGUGGGGAAGGCUUUGAGGAUGAAGGGAUUGGUGAUAUCCCUCGAGAAAUGAGCUUCUGCCCCAUCCAUAUCAGGCUGGGAAGACUUUGGAGAAACUUUACGCUUCAGACAAUCUGUAGAGACUGCAAAGCUCUUUAAAUUAUAACGUCCCAAAUUGAAAUUAGUCCACGGUGUCCCAGCCCUUAUCCCGCAAAGCUGUUUUGCAGUUAGGGCUCGAAAACCAUGAAUGGCAUUGGAUUGAAUGCUUUGACUGCUUUCAUAGUCAACCCUUUAUUUUUCCUACAGCUUCCUGCUCAGUGCCAUGGCCUUUCUAGGAAGAAGGGUAUGCCAGGAAAUGCAGGUUGGGUGCUCUCAGGCUACCACCCUACUCGGGAAUUGUCUUCCUGUCAGCUGUGUGUGACUGGAUGGUAGGUGAAGGGCUUUUGGCUUGUUUCCACUGAGUCACCAGGACUCGGCUACACUGAUGACAGGGCCUCCCUCCUAGGGGCCCGGCUGUGUCUCAGGAUCCCAUUGGGAGUAGGACAAGAAAGUCUCAGGUAUGCUUGACGUUAUGCAGGUCAGUGUGGUCACACUUAUCCAAAGAAGAGAGGAUCCAAGAAAACCUUGAACAUUUAAGACUUUAAACUGUAUCUCAAAUGACACUGAACUAAUUUGUGCAGCAGAGGCCGUUUUGUUCUGCAGUCAAUUCCCUUCUCUCCCACAUCUUCUAACACUGAUUCUGCCUCCAAAACCCCAGGCCCCACCCCUUUAAAGAAGGUUUAGUUAAUUCCUAAAUUUACAUAUAAUUUUUCUAGUUUUCCCCUCCAAGAUCUUUUUGUUUCUGAUGCUCUACUGCAGCAGUUUUCUCCAGAAAGUUAUUUCAAUGCCUGGGCAAGGAGGAGGGUCUCCAGAUCCUGGAGAUCUGGAGAGUUUAAAUGAAAGUGUAUCCAAAGGAGGCCUCAGGUUUGGAGGAAAGCACUGGGAAGGGCAAAGAGAAGAAGGAACCCAGAUACAUUCUUUGCAAUAGUAAAAGGAUCAUGUAGAAGAAUCCAGGUUUUAAGUGUUUAGGGACGUGGGGCAAUGAAUAAUCAUUCCUUACCUGUACACGAUGAUUCCUGGUUUGUAAAGUUUUUUAAUAUGAUCUUAUUUUGACCCCUCUACAUUCUUGUGAGGUAGUAAGAGCAGGUGGUACUGUUCCUAUUUUACAGAUAAGGAAAAAUUUUCAAAGAGUUCGGCUGGAAUUCAUCCUCUGUCUGCUGGUACCGAAUUAAAAGGCAGAGACAGAUUUUUAG
Molecule: long non-coding RNA, 4144 nt
Filed under: Sus scrofa (pig)
Lineage: Eukaryota; Metazoa; Chordata; Mammalia; Artiodactyla; Suidae
Description: lncRNA (ENSSSCG00000053512.1)
Source: RNAcentral